CGAGCGCAGGAAGUUAUCUGAUCCUCUUUUAGAGGUGACGAUAAUGGAAUGAGCGGCGGACGGGUGAGUAACACGUAGGCAACCUGCCUGUAAGACUGGGAUAACUCGUGGAAACGCGAGCUAAUACCGGAUAACACUUUUCAUCUCCUGAUGAGAAGUUGAAAGGCGGCUUUUGCUGUCACUUACAGAUGGGCCUGCGGCGCAUUAGCUAGUUGGUAAGGUAAUGGCUUACCAAGGCGACGAUGCGUAGCCGACCUGAGAGGGUGAUCGGCCACACUGGGACUGAGACACGGCCCAGACUCCUACGGGAGGCAGCAGUAGGGAAUCUUCCGCAAUGGACGAAAGUCUGACGGAGCAACGCCGCGUGAGUGAUGAAGGUUUUCGGAUCGUAAAACUCUGUUGUUAGGGAAGAACAAGUGCCAUAGUAACUGAUGGCACCUUGACGGUACCUAACCAGAAAGCCACGGCUAACUACGUGCCAGCAGCCGCGGUAAUACGUAGGUGGCAAGCGUUGUCCGGAAUUAUUGGGCGUAAAGCGCUCGCAGGCGGUUCUUUAAGUCUGAUGUGAAAUCUUACGGCUCAACCGUAAACGUGCAUUGGAAACUGGGGAACUUGAGUGCAGAAGAGGAGAGUGGAAUUCCACGUGUAGCGGUGAAAUGCGUAGAGAUGUGGAGGAACACCAGUGGCGAAGGCGACUCUCUGGUCUGUAACUGACGCUGAGGAGCGAAAGCGUGGGGAGCGAACAGGAUUAGAUACCCUGGUAGUCCACGCCGUAAACGAUGAGUGCUAGGUGUUAGGGGGUUUCCGCCCCUUAGUGCUGAAGUUAACGCAUUAAGCACUCCGCCUGGGGAGUACGGCCGCAAGGCUGAAACUCAAAA
RNAcentral lists this ribosomal RNA (878 nucleotides) under Oceanobacillus sp. RNAcentral describes it as "bacterial SSU rRNA". It matches the Rfam family "Bacterial small subunit ribosomal RNA", at positions 63 to 906 of the family's 1533-position model. Lineage: Bacteria; Bacillati; Bacillota; Bacilli; Caryophanales; Bacillaceae. The record is from RNAcentral.